This 225-nucleotide ribosomal RNA is filed under the name uncultured bacterium. Its description in RNAcentral is "partial 16S ribosomal RNA". It matches the Rfam family "Bacterial small subunit ribosomal RNA", at positions 109 to 334 of the family's 1533-position model. The record is from RNAcentral.
AGUAACGCGUGAGGAACCUGCCUUUCAGAGGGGGACAACAGUUGGAAACGACUGCUAAUACCGCAUGACGCAUAGAGAUCGCAUGGUUUUUAUGUCAAAGAUUUAUCGCUGAAAGAUGGCCUCGCGUCUGAUUAGCUAGUUGGUAAGGUAACGGCUUACCAAGGCGACGAUCAGUAGCCGACCUGAGAGGGUGACCGGCCACAUUGGGACUGAGACACGGCCCAA